GGUCCGAUGCCACGUCGUUCAUAGCGUAAAGCAAUGAUUUACGAUGCUACAUUGGUACCAAGAUUAAAUUUUGAUUAUGUUUCGCAUUUUGAUAGGAACCCGUUAAUCUUGUUUUUCAAUGAUUAAACGGAGCCGUUUUUUGCGAUUACAUUU
Molecule: non-coding RNA, 153 nt
Organism: Beta vulgaris subsp. vulgaris (sugar beet)
Lineage: Eukaryota; Viridiplantae; Streptophyta; Magnoliopsida; Caryophyllales; Amaranthaceae
Source: Rfam